AUCCUUGCAAAUUAUGCCGCCAUGGUCUAUAUUAUCGGCUGCCGGCUCGCCGGCUAUGGUGAUAAACGGACUAUGUAAUAAACCCAUUGGACUCGGGGGCAGUACCCGACGCCUCCACCAUAAAGCAAUCCGGGCGCGCUUGCAGGCAAAGCGUGCCUGACGGCAGGAGAUUGGGUUGCUUUAUGGCGGGGGCGAAACAGGAUCGACAAGGGCGUAAAGAUUGCUCUUUUACCCGGCAUUGUUCCGCCGUUAUCGGGCUUAUGUAUAAUUGCAAACGACAAUUAUGCGGAGGCACGUCUUGCUGCUUAAUUGCGGCUGACAACCUCACUUCAAGUCUUGUUCUCUCGCAGGAACAAGCGGGGUUGCAGGCACCCGGCAACAGAAGCCUGCAUU
Molecule: transfer-messenger RNA, 393 nt
Filed under: Candidatus Tokpelaia sp.
Lineage: Bacteria; Pseudomonadati; Pseudomonadota; Alphaproteobacteria; Hyphomicrobiales
Rfam family: Alphaproteobacteria transfer-messenger RNA
About the family: Bacterial tmRNA, also known as 10Sa RNA or SsrA, is named for its dual tRNA and mRNA-like properties. Its role is to liberate the mRNA from a stalled ribosome. To accomplish this part of the tmRNA is used as a reading frame that ends in a translation stop signal.
Source: RNAcentral